Molecule: ribosomal RNA, 443 nt
Filed under: uncultured bacterium
Lineage: Bacteria
Description: partial 16S ribosomal RNA
Rfam family: Bacterial small subunit ribosomal RNA
Source: RNAcentral
CCUACGGGGGGCAGCAGUGGGGAAUAUUGGGCAAUGGGCGCAAGCCUGACCCAGCAACGCCGCGUGAAGGAAGAAGGCUUUCGGGUUGUAAACUUCUUUUCUCAGGGACGAUGAAAGUGACGGUACCUGAGGAAUAAGCCACGGCUAACUACGUGCCAGCAGCCGUGGUAAUACGGAGGUGGCAAGCGUUAUCCGGAUUUAUUGGGUGUAAAGGGCGUGUAGGCGGGAGCGCAAGUCAGAUGUGAAAACUCAGGGCUCAACCCUGAGACUGCAUUUGAAACUGUGUUUCUUGAGUGCUGGAGAGGUAAGCGGAAUUCCGGGUGUAGCGGUGAAAGGCGUAGAGAGACGGAGGAACACCAGUGGCGAAGGCGGAUUGCUGGACAGUAACUGACGCUGAGGCGCGAAAGCGUGGGGAGCAAACAGGAUUAGAUACCCUGGUAGUC